This 85-nucleotide transfer RNA is filed under the name Felis catus (domestic cat). It matches the Rfam family "tRNA". Rfam says of the family: Transfer RNA (tRNA) molecules are approximately 80 nucleotides in length. Their secondary structure includes four short double-helical elements and three loops (D, anti-codon, and T loops). Further hydrogen bonds mediate the characteristic L-shaped molecular structure. tRNAs have two regions of fundamental functional importance: the anti-codon, which is responsible for specific mRNA codon recognition, and the 3' end, to which the tRNAs corresponding amino acid is attached (by aminoacyl-tRNA synthetases). tRNAs cope with the degeneracy of the genetic code in two manners: having more than one tRNA (with a specific anti-codon) for a particular amino acid; and 'wobble' base-pairing, i.e. permitting non-standard base-pairing at the 3rd anti-codon position. The record is from Rfam by way of RNAcentral. Lineage: Eukaryota; Metazoa; Chordata; Mammalia; Carnivora; Felidae.
GCCUGGGUGGCUCAGUCGGUUGAGCGUCCGACUUCCACUGAGGUCAUGAUGUCGCAGUCUGUGGGUUCAAGCCCCGCGUCGGGCU